This 488-nucleotide ribosomal RNA is filed under the name uncultured bacterium. RNAcentral describes it as "bacterial SSU rRNA". It matches the Rfam family "Bacterial small subunit ribosomal RNA", at positions 28 to 526 of the family's 1533-position model. The record is from RNAcentral.
GACGAACGCUGGCGGCGUGCUUAACACAUGCAAGUCGAACGAGGUCCAAGCAGUCGCAAGACUGCGGAAGACCGAGUGGCGAACGGGUGCGUAACACGUGAGGAACUUGUCCCGGUCUCUGGAAUAACAGGUGGAAACACCUGCUAAUACCGGAUGCCGUCGGACCAUCGCAUGGUGGACUGACGAAAGGGUUACCGGAUCGGGAGAGCCUCGCGGCCUAUCAGCUUGUUGGUGAGGUAACGGCUCACCAAGGCAUCGACGGGUAGCUGGUCUGAGAGGAUGAUCAGCCACACUGGGACUGAGACACGGCCCAGACUCCUACGGGAGGCAGCAGUGGGGAAUCUUGCACAAUGGGCGAAAGCCUGAUGCAGCAACGCCGCGUGCGGGAAGAAGGCCCUAGGGUUGUAAACCGCUUUCAGCAGGGAAGAAGAUGACGGUACCUGUAGAAGAAGGUGCGGCCAACUACGUGCCAGCCGCCGCCGUAAGAC